AGCUUGCUCUUUGAUUAUUCAAAAGUGAAACACUGAACCUUGUUCGUUGUAAAUCUUCUCAGACAUAUUAUAGGCAUGAGAUCAUUGUAAGACUGUAUAUAAAUUGUCAUUACCCCGGUUCACCCUCCGUGAACCAUCGUGACAACACCUAUUCUCCACGACUAGGUAAGCCUAAAAUGCGGAAGAUAAAUCAAUUUGCGGAAGAAAAUAAUUUAAAAUAGAAAUAGAGUAAUAAAACAGAGUUUAAAAGUGUCGCUCGGUAUACACAAUAUUAACUCUCAAAAACUAAUAUAUUUUCCCAAAACCUGAAAACCCAUGAAUCUCAAGCUACGAAUAUAAAAAAAUGCUCUAACUCCGGAAUGUCUACAUCAACAGAAAAGAUAGAAGGGCUAUCACUACAAGAUAGAAUGGAAAGGGACUCCUCGGUCUGCGGACAUGGCAGAUAUACCUCAAAGUCUCUGGAACAGUCGCCUAGCCUCAAGGGUGAUAGGACUGAGUGGAUGUACUUGGAUCUGCACAUGAAAAACAUGGACAGAAAGGGCAUGAGUACACCACAUCGGUACUCAGUAAGUGCCAAGCCUAACCUCGAUCGGAUAGUGACGAGGAAGGUCAGGGACCUACUGAGAUAAAUAAAA
Molecule: long non-coding RNA, 635 nt
Filed under: Nicotiana tabacum (common tobacco)
Lineage: Eukaryota; Viridiplantae; Streptophyta; Magnoliopsida; Solanales; Solanaceae
Description: long non-coding RNA (NTAB_LNC009131)
Source: RNAcentral